Molecule: ribosomal RNA, 468 nt
Filed under: Candida dubliniensis
Lineage: Eukaryota; Fungi; Ascomycota; Pichiomycetes; Serinales; Debaryomycetaceae
Description: eukaryotic LSU rRNA
Rfam family: 5.8S ribosomal RNA (bases 106-259)
Source: RNAcentral
CUGGACAAACUUGCUUUGGCGGUGGGCCCCUGCCUGCCGCCAGAGGACAUAAACUUACAACCAAAUUUUUUAUAAACUUGUCACGAGAUUAUUUUUAAUAGUCAAAACUUUCAACAACGGAUCUCUUGGUUCUCGCAUCGAUGAAGAACGCAGCGAAAUGCGAUACGUAAUAUGAAUUGCAGAUAUUCGUGAAUCAUCGAAUCUUUGAACGCACAUUGCGCCCUCUGGUAUUCCGGAGGGCAUGCCUGUUUGAGCGUCGUUUCUCCCUCAAACCCCUAGGGUUUGGUGUUGAGCAAUACGACUUGGGUUUGCUUGAAAGAUGAUAGUGGUAUAAGGCGGAGAUGCUUGACAAUGGCUUAGGUGUAACCAAAAACAUUGCUAAGGCGGUCUCUGGCGUCGCCCAUUUUAUUCUUCAAACUUUGACCUCAAAUCAGGUAGGACUACCCGCUGAACUUAAGCAUAUCAAUA